UAUCUCUGUAGAGUCUGCAUAUCAAUAAGCGGAGGAAAAGAAACUAACAAGGAUUCCCUCAGUAACGGCGAGUGAAGCGGGAAGAGCUCAAAUUUGAAAUCUUCAAGGUUCUACCUUGACGAAUUGUAGUUUAAAGAAGUGUUUUCUGUUGAGUUUUGGUAAAAGUUCUUUGGAAUAGGACAUCAUAGAGGGUGAGAAUCCCGUAUUUGACCAUUAUUUCCAGCUGUGUGAUACACUUUCAAAGAGUCGGAUUGUUUGGGAAUGCAGUCCAAAAUGGGUGGUAAAUUUCAUCUAAAGCUAAAUACUGGCGAGAGACCGAUAGCGAACAAGUACCGUGAGGGAAAGAUGAAAAGAACUUUGAAAAGAGAGUUAAACAGUACGUGAAAUUGUCAAAAGGGAAGCGUUUGACACCAGUGUUGUUUUCUCGAAAAUCAAUUAAAAAAGGCAGGAUUUUGUGUUGUAUUGACUUUAUCAGCUUUCUGCACUCUUUUCUUGUCUUUUUUAAUGCACUUUUCGUUUAACAAGUCAACAUCAGUUUCUUUUGUUGUAAAAAGGUCAUUGGAAGGUGGCUUUCUUUUCGGAGAAAGUGUUUAUAGCCUUUGACUUCUGCAAUCGGAGAGACUGAGGUCUGCAGCGUAGAUCCUUCUGGAUUAGAUUCAUUUGUGCUAAGUUACAACCGUUUAUAGACAACUUGUUGACUAUAUUCGAUCCUGUUAGCUUACUCGCUUAUGUAAUUUUACCUACGCUUAGGAUGUUGAUAGUCACAGCGUGUAC
RNAcentral lists this ribosomal RNA (774 nucleotides) under uncultured Neocallimastigales. RNAcentral's name for it is "partial large subunit ribosomal RNA". It matches the Rfam family "Eukaryotic large subunit ribosomal RNA", at positions 24 to 629 of the family's 3401-position model. Lineage: Eukaryota; Fungi; Neocallimastigomycota; Neocallimastigomycetes; Neocallimastigales. The record is from RNAcentral.